Gopherus evgoodei (Goodes thornscrub tortoise) is the source of this 102-nucleotide long non-coding RNA. RefSeq lists it as uncharacterized. The transcript has 3 exons. The record is from RefSeq and is a predicted model, not a curated record. NCBI's taxonomy places the organism in Eukaryota, Metazoa, Chordata, Testudines, Testudinidae.
CCUAAUAAGCCGGGUGACACUCUGCCAGCGCUGUGUGUAAUAAACUCCUAUGCUUGACCUCUACACAAUGUGGAUUUAUGUCUUUCAAUGUGUAAUAAUGAA